CUUUUCAACAACAGCACAUAAUUCCUCCCAGAUGGUGUUGUUGGUCAGGGUCAAGCAUCCUCCUCCCAGCUUGAUCCAAGAAUUAUGACCGGACUGCAUCCUCCUCCCGCAGUCCGGUCUUUUU
Molecule: small RNA, 124 nt
Filed under: Ahrensia marina
Lineage: Bacteria; Pseudomonadati; Pseudomonadota; Alphaproteobacteria; Hyphomicrobiales; Ahrensiaceae
Description: Alphaproteobacterial ar14
Rfam family: Alphaproteobacterial ar14
About the family: Smr14C2 was renamed NfeR1 (Nodule Formation Efficiency RNA) highly expressed in salt stress and during the symbiotic interaction on legume roots.
Source: Rfam by way of RNAcentral